This 253-nucleotide ribosomal RNA is filed under the name uncultured bacterium. RNAcentral describes it as "partial 16S ribosomal RNA". It matches the Rfam family "Bacterial small subunit ribosomal RNA", at positions 524 to 776 of the family's 1533-position model. The record is from RNAcentral.
UACGUAGGGGGCGAGCGUUGUCCGGAAUCACUGGGCGUAAAGGGCGCGUAGGCGGUCUGGUAAGCGUGUGGUGAAAGCUUCGGGCUCAACCCGGAGUCGGCCGUGCGAACUGCGAGACUGGAGCAUGUCAGAGGCAGGCGGAAUUCCGGGUGUAGCGGUGGAAUGCGUAGAGAUCCGGAAGAACACCGGUGGCGAAGGCGGCCUGCUGGGACAUUGCUGACGCUGAGGCGCGACAGCGUGGGGAGCAAACAGG